GUUGUUUUAGCGCAGUGAACAGCGUGUCGGACUUCUACUCCGAAAGACGUGUGUUUAAUAACCAACAGACAUUG
Molecule: non-coding RNA, 74 nt
Organism: Henosepilachna vigintioctopunctata
Lineage: Eukaryota; Metazoa; Arthropoda; Insecta; Coleoptera; Coccinellidae
Source: the annotation of a GenBank genome assembly